This 793-nucleotide ribosomal RNA is filed under the name uncultured bacterium. RNAcentral describes it as "bacterial SSU rRNA". It matches the Rfam family "Bacterial small subunit ribosomal RNA", at positions 8 to 788 of the family's 1533-position model. The record is from RNAcentral.
AGAGUUUGAUCCUGGCUCAGAGUGAACGCUGGCGGUAGGCCUAACACAUGCAAGUCGAACGGCAGCACAGUAAGAGCUUGCUCUUACGGGUGGCGAGUGGCGGGCGGGUGAGGAAUACAUCGGAAUCUACUUUUUCGUGGGGGAUAACGUAGGGAAACUUACGCUAAUACCGCAUACGACCUACGGGUGAAAGCAGGGGAUCUUCGGACCUUGCGCGAUUGAAUGAGCCGAUGUCGGAUUAGCUAGUUGGCGGGGUAAAGGCCCACCAAGGCGACGAUCCGUAGCUGGUCUGAGAGGAUGAUCAGCCACACUGGAACUGAGACACGGUCCAGACUCCUACGGGAGGCAGCAGUGGGGAAUAUUGGACAAUGGGCGCAAGCCUGAUCCAGCCAUACCGCGUGGGUGAAGAAGGCCUUCGGGUUGUAAAGCCCUUUUGUUGGGAAAGAAAUCCAGCUGGUUAAUACCCGGUUGGGAUGACGGUACCCAAAGAAUAAGCACCGGCUAACUUCGUGCCAGCAGCCGCGGUAAUACGAAGGGUGCAAGCGUUACUCGGAAUUACUGGGCGUAAAGCGUGCGUAGGUGGUUGUUUAAGUCUGUUGUGAAAGCCCUGGGCUCAACCUGGGAACUGCAGUGGAAACUGGACGACUAGAGUGUGGUAGAGGGUAGCGGAAUUCCUGGUGUAGCAGUGAAAUGCGUAGAGAUCAGGAGGAACAUCCAUGGCGAAAGCAGCUACCUGGACCAACACUGACACUGAGGCACGAAAGCGUGGGGAGCAAACAGGAUUAGAUACCCU